RNAcentral lists this ribosomal RNA (200 nucleotides) under uncultured bacterium. Its description in RNAcentral is "partial 16S ribosomal RNA". It matches the Rfam family "Bacterial small subunit ribosomal RNA", at positions 8 to 215 of the family's 1533-position model. The record is from RNAcentral.
AGAGUUUGAUCCUGGCUCAGAGCGAACGCUGGCGGCGUGCUUAACACAUGCAAGUCGAACGAGUGUAGCAAUACAUUCGUGGCGAACGGGUGCGUAACACGUGGAUAACCUUCCUUCAAGUGGGGAAUAACCCAGUGAAAAUUGGGCUAAUACCGCAUAACAAGAUCGGGGCACAUGCUUUGAUCUUCAAAGGCGCGAGU